AACGAACGCUGGCGGCAUGCCUAACACAUGCAAGUCGAACGAAGCCUUCGGGCUUAGUGGCGCACGGGUGCGUAACGCGUGGGAAUCUGCCCUUGGGUUCGGAAUAACAGUUAGAAAUGACUGCUAAUACCGGAUAAUGUCUUCGGACCAAAGAUUUAUCGCCCAGGGAUGAGCCCGCGUAGGAUUAGCUAGUUGGUGAGGUAAAGGCUCACCAAGGCGACGAUCCUUAGCUGGUCUGAGAGGAUGAUCAGCCACACUGGGACUGAGACACGGCCCAGACUCCUACGGGAGGCAGCAGUGGGGAAUAUUGGACAAUGGGCGAAAGCCUGAUCCAGCAAUGCCGCGUGAGUGAUGAAGGCCUUAGGGUUGUAAAGCUCUUUUACCCGGGAUGAUAAUGACAGUACCGGGAGAAUAAGCCCCCGGCUAACUCCGUGCCAGCAGCCGCGGUAAU
Molecule: ribosomal RNA, 451 nt
Filed under: uncultured bacterium
Lineage: Bacteria
Description: bacterial SSU rRNA
Rfam family: Bacterial small subunit ribosomal RNA
Source: RNAcentral